CUGCACCUGUGUAUAGGCCUCCCUCUACUUGGUAGUGUGGCCUUAAGCGUUUGUGCAGAAACUAAUAGCUGUUAAAUCAGCGGCGGCCAGACAACCGCUGAGAUGGAUCCACAGGUGAAUUGCCCAAAGUGCUGCUUGCCUACUAAAUCCAUCUUACAUGC
This is a non-coding RNA of Eucalyptus grandis, 161 nucleotides long. The record is from Rfam. NCBI's taxonomy places the organism in Eukaryota, Viridiplantae, Streptophyta, Magnoliopsida, Myrtales, Myrtaceae.